Heteronotia binoei (common prickly gecko) is the source of this 569-nucleotide long non-coding RNA. RefSeq lists it as uncharacterized. The transcript has 4 exons. Lineage: Eukaryota; Metazoa; Chordata; Lepidosauria; Squamata; Gekkonidae. The record is from RefSeq and is a predicted model, not a curated record.
AAGGAAAGAGAUAUUUAAUCAGUGUGUAUCGCUUUGUUUAUCUGUGGGAAGGAAAGACGAUUGCGCUAAUGAUGUGGAAUGUCUUUGGAGUAACUCACUGCACUGUGGAACUUUUUGGGAACUUGAUGAGUUUGAGCUGGCUACCUAAGAGGAAUCACAAGGAGAGACGGAAAUGAAUCAUUGUGAAAAUUCCUCUUGAACCAAAUCUCUCCCAGCAAAUUACAUGAAAUCUUCAAGAUUAAAACAGAAUAUGAGGCAGGGUUUGAAACACGACGAUAUCAGCACAGUUGAGCUUCUUGCAGGAAAAUACACGCUCCAGAAAAAAAAAAUCAUCUCGGUCAAUUUAUAAGAAACAAUUGUUGCAUUGUGAUCUCAGGAGCCGUUCUGGAAUAUCCUUUGUUUGACCCCUAAGGAAGGCCAAUGGGCUGAAAUGUGUACAGUCGGGGUCAAUAAUGGUCAUUUUUGGAUAUCACUGUACAAUUUGAUUCUUAACUGAGGCAUCUUAUCUGGGCCAAUAGCUGUUUUUUUAAAAAAAUUUACUUCAUAAUAAAUUUAUGAAUAUUUUUGUA